This 83-nucleotide transfer RNA is filed under the name Fundidesulfovibrio putealis. RNAcentral's name for it is "tRNA-Leu". It matches the Rfam family "tRNA". From Rfam's summary of the family: Transfer RNA (tRNA) molecules are approximately 80 nucleotides in length. Their secondary structure includes four short double-helical elements and three loops (D, anti-codon, and T loops). The record is from RNAcentral. Lineage: Bacteria; Pseudomonadati; Thermodesulfobacteriota; Desulfovibrionia; Desulfovibrionales; Desulfovibrionaceae.
AAGUGGUGGAAUUGGUAGACACGCUAGGUUCAGGGUCUAGUGGGGGCAACUCCGUGGAGGUUCGAGUCCUCUCUUCGGCACCA